UGUACGCGUAUAAAAAACUGGUCAACGCGGAAGAACAUGCGCGCAAACAUGUAAUUUUUAACCUAACUCAAUAAAACCAGUACAGUUUUAUGUAAUAUCUUAAUAUAAUAUAAUAUAGGUAUUAUAUAUAAUAUUAUAUGUCCGGGUUCUGUAGUGCUCUGUGUUUGAACUCUGUAGUUUGUCGUAGUGCGCCAUAGGACGAAGGUGUCUGAACGAUACACAUUUUAUAAUAUUAUACUAUUAUAUAGGUAAAUUGCAGGUGUGAUUGCCACAAAACUAUCGUUUUUUGUAUUAGGGUCAUUAUUGUAUUAUUGGCUUUUUCAUCGGCUUAAAACCAUAUCGAUACACAACGGGUAAACUACAGAAAAACUUCACCGUCGAAUAUAGAAUAUCAAUAAUAUAGAAUGACAACCAAAAUCGAUUCAUCCGCAAAAUUUAUCGAUAGAUUCGUCGAUUUGGGCUCGAGGAUUCUAAACUGUCAAAAGUACCUGGACGUGAAAAAAAUUUUCAACUCAAUUCUGGAGAUUUUAUUAGCUUGCGCCAGUAGCUGCUUCCCAGCGAUAGAUUCGUUCACCGACGACGAAGACGACGAUACACAAACAGAACUAAAUAAGAUUAAACAAAACUGAAAAUGUACCUACUAAAGCAGUCGACUAGAAAAAAAUGAAAAAUUCUUCGGAUGAAUGAAUAAAACCGAUUGUUUCCUGAUGUUUUAUGUAUUAUGUAUUUUUAAUAAAUUUUAAGUUAUUAUUUUGUAAAUACCUUAGCUUUAUUCUUCAUGAAAAUUACCUGAUGAUUUUAGAAACCCAACUACUUAAACAAUACUAUAUGAUUGCUGUAUUUCUAAACAAUUGUAUACUGUUCAUUACAAAAAUCAUUUUACUAUAAUAUCGAAAUUUUUAAAAAUUAUGACCCCCCCCCUUAACCAUGUCUGUGAAGCCGCCCUGUAUGAUAUAGAUUAUAGAAACAAUUUAUAUUCAA
Metopolophium dirhodum (rose-grain aphid) is the source of this 981-nucleotide long non-coding RNA. RefSeq lists it as uncharacterized. The transcript is spliced from 2 exons. NCBI's taxonomy places the organism in Eukaryota, Metazoa, Arthropoda, Insecta, Hemiptera, Aphididae. The record is from RefSeq and is a predicted model, not a curated record.